Molecule: unclassified non-coding RNA, 324 nt
Filed under: plant metagenome
Description: partial contains 5.8S ribosomal RNA, internal transcribed spacer 2, and large subunit ribosomal RNA
Rfam family: 5.8S ribosomal RNA (bases 1-105)
Source: RNAcentral
GAAAUGCGAUAAGUAGUGUGAAUUGCAGAAUUCAGUGAAUCAUCGAAUCUUUGAACGCACAUUGCGCCCUUUGGUAUUCCUUAGGGCAUGCCUGUUCGAGCGUCAUUUAAACCCUUCAAGCUCAGCUUGGUGUUGGGUGACUGUCCGCCGCCGCCCCCUGGGGGUGGGGUUGCGGACUCGCCCCAAAUCCAUUGGCAGCCCACGCGGUGGUGGCUUCGAGCGCAGCAGAAACGCGACCUCGAGCCCGCCCCGACGGCUCCCAGAAGCAGCCACUUCCUUUUUUUUUGACCUCGGAUCAGGUAGGGAUACCCGCUGAACUUAAGC